GGGGCGGAGACCCGGACGCGGGCUCAUUUUCCCGGCUUCCAGUUGGAGAACGGAGAGGAGCUAGGACUCGAACGGCUCUGAUUCCCCUCGUGACUUCUUGUUUGAGAAGAGUCUUGGUAACCAUCUCUUCAGUGUAAGGAUCCGUUUUGAAAAUACUCUGGCCGUUGGCCAUCUUUCACGCCCGUGCAUUAAACUCGCCAUAUUGGGUGCAGACAGCUGCCUUUUGGCGUUUUCUUCCUGUUCCUUGUGUUGAAGCGUUGUGUCGAGCUCAGUUCUCGCUGGGUCAAAGCCCAAGGACCGAUCUCUCUUUCUCCUCGCUGCCCGCCUUUGAGACUGCAGCAGUCGCGACUCUCCCUGCUACCGGCCUGGGAUCCGCGAUGCUCCACGCGCGUGUCCAGGGCCGACCACUCCUGCUUGGCAGCGUCUCCUUAGCACUGCAGGAACUGAGACGCAACAGCUCUGUGGAUGUGCUUUGAAAGAAGCCUGAAAGGAUAGCGGAUUGCGGAAAGAUCACCUACACUUCUGCUGCUUGGCAUGAAAAUUUAUUUGCUUUAAAAAGAUCAGAAUCAUAUACUGCACUGAACUAGAUUCAUGGCGUUCUUGUGUAAUGGAGUUGUUAUUGUUCUUAAUGUCUGGAGUUUGUGUUUAGGAUUACCUAAUUUUUUUGGUCAAGUCUUCCGAAUCCCAUGGAACAGCUCAGGUCUGUCCUCUGCCAAUUCUGCCCUUCUCCAGGGGGGAUGUCCCCUCUUCCCUGUGGCUAAGUUUCAGGUGAGUUGAGCUUUCGCGAAACGCCCUGUUGCCUCGAGUAGUAAGCGUAUCUUUGCGUGGGGCACACGUGUCCCCAAACCGAUGCUGGUGUUUUAUCUGCUCUCACCGUCUGAGAUCUCGUCCCCAGUUCGGCCUCUCCAGCCUUUCCUGCUCGCCCGUGCUUGGCAUCUUGCUGUGCUGCAGGGACGGCAGAGCAAAAGAACUCAGUUCUUCACCAAAUAGACCAAAAUCACCACUAGAAACAAAGCAGGUAAAUGAAAGAAAGUCAAGAGGAGUAUUGUGGGAAUGAGAUGGAAAAUGUGAGGGUUUGAAGCCUAGCGGAGGGCAUGGGUUUGUGUGGCACUCAGGAUGGGAGACGUUCACAUGUCUGGACAGCAAGGUGGGGUGGGCGUGCGCUGUGGAGGAUACUAGCACCAGAGGUCCCCAGCAAGCGUGGUGGGAGUCCACGGGGUCCAGGACAGUUCCUUGGAGAUAGUUGAUUUUGGCAAGUGGUAAACAAAUGCCGAAGGUCAGCAUAUGAAAGGCUUUGCAGGUCUGGAUGGUGAAGUUGAAGAAGGCUUUCCUCUGUAGGCCAUUCGUGAGUCAUUAAGAGUUUGUAGUGGAAAAGUGACUGAUAAUCUUCCAGAAAAACAGCUGUGGGAGAAUUUAGACAAGAAAGGUAACAUUUGCUACCCUGGCCAUAAUGAACCUUAGCCCUCCGUUAAGCAGGCGCUUUCUUCUUAGUCUUAUUCUACCUGCUUCCUUUCUUUUCCACACUUUUAAUCUCCUGUGAAAGAAAUUCUCAAUUCUUCCUGCUUUGAGCUUAAGCUCUUUUAGUAGUACUUGAUCUUUUACUGAUGUGUGCAUCAGUCAGUGCUUAGAAGAGCUUUUGGGCGGGCAUAGCUCCUCAAAAGACUGCAGGUGCUCUGAAUCAGAUUUCACGUAGGACAGAGAAAUAUGAUUGGCCAACAGUGGCUGCCCACAUAGUCAAGUGUAGAAGAGUGUAAGAGACCUAUCCGCACACUAGAGAUGCGAAGGAUCUAGCCGAAGGCCUGGAGCCCAUGGCAAUGUCCCGUGUGAGUCUGCAUUAGGAGGCUGAAAGAUCCGAGAUAGAAGGCUGAGGGCUCUGUGCUGGGAGGUGGAAGAGUUGGUACUAGAAGCUAAGUCUGCUCUGGAAAGCCGGUGUUGGAAGCUAAAGAAUCUGCUGUUAAAGCCAGGAGACAAUGCCCAAGGCAAAGGCGAAGACCAGAGCUCCUGUGAGGAAAAUCAGCUGCAACAAAGCUCUUCCAAGGGAAAUCAGCUGAAAUCCUUCCCUCCAGUUCUCCUUUUCUACCGUUCCAACAACUGUCUUCCUUAAAGUGGCCUUGAUGCCCAGAAUCCUGCUGACUCAACUCAGCUGAGCGUGCCCCACUCGGGUUGCCAAGUUAAUCAGUUAACUACCACCAGGUGUAGUGAGUGCAGUUGCUGCACAUGGUCACAGUGUACACAGUCGGCCUGCAGUGUCCUGGGGGACACCAAAGUUGGCGGCUGCUCAAGUCCUGCAUGAAGUGGGACUGCUGCGCGUCCUCUGUGUACACCAGGUCGUGUCUGGGGUGCUUGAAACACUUCCGUCCCGGAAGGCGGGAUCACUACUGCAAGGACUGGACCAAGGCAAGGGAGCACGGGCGAGGAAAAUGUGCAGGCUCAGUUCUGUCUGCCCACCCCACGGCUGUACCUGGAUGCGCUCAAGUGAACCCACAGAUGCAGGAUCCGUGGGUGCCAGUGCCAGCCGAGUUCUGAUCAGAAAUGACGUGCUGUGUGCAGAUGAGGCAAAGCGCAUACUUUUAUUACUUUUAGGAUUUGAAUCCUUUCACAUUUAUUGAGAUUUUUUACCUUUUUUUUUGCCUAGAAUUAGUGCAUCUUAUAAGUGAUCAGUGAGCACUUGACAUUGCUGUUGCCGGUAAAGGGUGCCAUAGGGUGUUGGUUCCCUCCUGCUGUUCUAAUCAAUCACGCAAGCCUCGUUGGUUUCAAACUGAGUUCACUCUCACAGUCGCAAGGGCAGCAGUCCAUGGUGUGUCAGGACCGGCUCCUCUGUGCCUGCUCCUGGCUGCUCAGCCUCGUGGGCUUCGAGUGCCUGCCCCGGGUCCUUCCGCUGCCUGCCCCUUCCCGGCCCCCACGCCUCUUCUUCCUCCUCCUCGGAGACCCCCUCCUCCCCCAUGGGAGGACUCUUGUGACUGCGCUGGUCCCACCGUGUGAACCAGGACACCUUCCCCUUCUCAACGCUGUUAACUUGAUCACCUUGCAAAGUCAAGGGUGUCAGAGGUUAGAUACGGAAAUGUGGGAUGGACAUUUUCUGUAAACCAGGUAGCAGGUCAAGUUGGUAGUUUUGUUCAGGUCUUUUCUAUCCCUAUUGAUUUUCUGUCUACUUUAUCAAUUGCUAUGAGAGACAUAUUGAAAUCUUGGAAUGUUUUGAUUUGUCUCUUUUUCCUUGCCGUUCUGUUUUUGCUGCCUAUAUUUUGAAGCUUUGUUAUUAGUUACAUAAUAGGAUUGUUACCGCCUCUUAAUCAGUUGAUCCCUUUAUUGUUGAGUUAACUUUUUUUAUGUCUAGUAAUAGCAUUUGCUUUUAAAUUUCCAUUGAUAUUUGAUUAGGGUCAGCAUGGUCUUUUUUCAUUCUUUUGCUUUUAGUUACUUGUAUCUCUGUAUUUAAAGUGAGUUACUUAUCAGUUUUGCUUUUUUUUUAGUGCUGGAUUUUUAACCCAGGGCCUUGUAUAUCCUAAGCAUGUGCUGAUCUACCUCUAGCUGUGCUCUGAACCUCUGUGUUUUGCUUUUUAAAAUCCAGUCUGGAGGCCAGGGAUUUAGCUCGGUGGUUCUGCUGCCUGCCUCACAAGCGCAAGGUCCCCAGUUCAAACCCCGGUACCAAAAAAAUAAAAUCCAGUCUGGAGCUGGGUGUGGAGGCACACAUAUGUAAUCCCAGCACUCAGGAGGCUGAGGCAGGAGAAUCACCACAAGUUCGAGGCCAGCCCAGGCUACAUAAUGAGUUCAAGGCUGGUCUGAAAUACAUGGCGAGACCUUGUCUCAAAAAAAACAACAAAAACAAAACAAAACAAAACAAAACAAAAAUCUAAUCUUGAUCCAGAUAUCCCUGGAAUUUGGCAACCCUGAGCAGACCAGGUGUCUGAUAGACACUGCCCUCACAGGCGUCUAAAGUGUGCUGUCCUGUUCUUAGUGUUAUCGGGCAGUUCCUUCAGAAUGGCUCGCCAAUUAGACGUAUUCCAAGUCCUUCUUGGCU
This is a long non-coding RNA of Heterocephalus glaber (naked mole-rat), 4015 nucleotides long. Lineage: Eukaryota; Metazoa; Chordata; Mammalia; Rodentia; Bathyergidae. The record is from Ensembl.